Molecule: ribosomal RNA, 246 nt
Filed under: Clostridioides difficile
Lineage: Bacteria; Bacillati; Bacillota; Clostridia; Peptostreptococcales; Peptostreptococcaceae
Description: partial 23S ribosomal RNA
Rfam family: Bacterial large subunit ribosomal RNA
Source: RNAcentral
CUUAGUACGAGAGGACCGGGAUGGACGUACCUCUGGUGUACCAGUUGUCCUGCCAAGGGCAUGGCUGGGUAGCUAUGUACGGAAUGGAUAAGCGCUGAAAGCAUCUAAGCGCGAAGCCAACUUCAAGAUAAGAUUUCCCACCGCAAGGGUAAGACCCCAGAAAGACUAUCUGGUUGAUAGGUCGAAGGUGUAAGUGCAGCAAUGUAUUUAGCUUAUCGAUACUAAUAGGUCGAGGACUUGACCAAU